This 295-nucleotide ribosomal RNA is filed under the name uncultured bacterium. RNAcentral describes it as "partial 16S ribosomal RNA". It matches the Rfam family "Bacterial small subunit ribosomal RNA", at positions 775 to 1067 of the family's 1533-position model. The record is from RNAcentral.
GGAUUAGAUACCCUGGUAGUCCACGCCGUAAACGAUGAUAACUAGCUGUCCGGGGACUUGGUCUUUGGGUGGCGCAGCUAACGCAUUAAGUUAUCCGCCUGGGGAGUACGGCCGCAAGGUUAAAACUCAAAUGAAUUGACGGGGGCCUGCACAAGCGGUGGAGCAUGUGGUUUAAUUCGAAGCAACGCGCAGAACCUUACCAGCGUUUGACAUGGCAGGACGACUUCUGGAGACAGAUUUCUUCCCUUCGGGGACCUGCACACAGGUGCUGCAUGGCUGUCGUCAGCUCGUGUUG